Molecule: ribosomal RNA, 468 nt
Filed under: uncultured bacterium
Lineage: Bacteria
Description: partial 16S ribosomal RNA
Rfam family: Bacterial small subunit ribosomal RNA
Source: RNAcentral
GACGAACGCUGGCGGCGGGCUUAACACAUGCAAGUCGAACGGAAAGGCCCUGCUUUUGUGGGGUGCUCGAGUGGCGAACGGGUGAGUAACACGUGAGUAACCUGCCCUUGACUUUGGGAUAACUUCAGGAAACUGGGGCUAAUACCGGAUAGGAGCUCCUGCUGCAUGGUGGGGGUUGGAAAGUUUCGGCGGUUGGGGAUGGACUCGCGGCUUAUCAGCUUGUUGGUGGGGUAGUGGCUUACCAAGGCUUUGACGGGUAGCCGGCCUGAGAGGGUGACCGGCCACAUUGGGCCUGAGGUACGGCCCAGACUCCUACGGGAGGCAGCAGUGGGGAAUAUUGCACAGUGGGCGGAAGCCUGAUGCAGCAACGCCGCGUGCGGGAUGACGGCCUUCGGGUUGUAAACCGCUUUCGCCUGUGACGAAGCGUGAGUGACGGUAAUGGGUAAAGAAGCACCGGCUAACUACGUG